AUCUCUUUUAUCGCUAAACCUAACCUCUCCCGUUCAUUUCUGGAUUCAUUCAUCGAAAAUGUGGGACAGCCUGGUGAGUUGGGAGAUCGGUUGGUGCAGUUAUUGCAGAAGAUCGCAUCAUCGUUGCACCGCACACAAAGCGACCGCAAAACGGAUUCUUCAUUUUUAUCGUUGACGAGAAGAGGCUGCUUGAGAAUGGCAGAAGAACCAAAUACGCUGACAUUGUGUCGAAAAUCAGCGGCAACGGGCGCUCGAAGCUGGUGUUCAUCUGGCAGCGGACGAAGCCGAGCGUGCUGAAGGAUGUGCGUCACGUGUUCGAGGAGCUGUGGGCGCUGCAGAUCAUCGACGCGAUCGCCGUAGUGCUGGGCCGCUACCGGGCCAUCCGUAUCUACACGUAUCACCCGUUCACGCCGAACCACUGCUUCGAGGCUGGAUCUCCGGUGCUCAUCAACGACUGGGACCCCAGGAGAGGACGACUCACCCAUCGCACACCGUCCCUCUUCUCGCAGAAGAGCAAGGUUUGCACUCCACAAACUUGUAAUAGGGUAGGGAGCAAUAUUAAAAGGAGGGUAUGUACCCUCCG
This 583-nucleotide long non-coding RNA is filed under the name Bemisia tabaci. RNAcentral describes it as "lncRNA ENSASIAIIG004186". The record is from RNAcentral. Lineage: Eukaryota; Metazoa; Arthropoda; Insecta; Hemiptera; Aleyrodidae.